AUUGAACGCUGGCGGCAUGCCUUACACAUGCAAGUCGAACGGACACAGGCGGCGUUGUGCCGACGAGUGGCGAACGGGGGAGUAAUACAUCCGAAUGUACCCAGUCGUUGUGGGAAACUACUCGAAAGAGUAGCUAAUACCUCAUACGAUCUAAUGAUUAAAGCCGGGGACCGCAAUGCUUCGCGCGGGUUUUGCGGCCGAUGUUAGAUGAGGUAGCUGGUGAGGCAAAGGUUGACCAAGGCAAGGAUCUGUAACUGAUCUGAGAGUACGACCCGCCACACUGGGACUGAGACACGGCCCAGACUCCUACGGGAGGCAGCAGUGGGGAAUCUUGCGCAAUGGGCGAAAGCCUGAUCGAGCAAUGCCGCGUGAAGGAAGAAGGCCUUCGGAUUGUAAAAUGCUUUUGUACGGAACGAACAAAAUCUGGUUAAUAUACGAAGGUAAUGACGGUACCGUAAGAAUAAGCACCGGCUAACUACGUG
RNAcentral lists this ribosomal RNA (482 nucleotides) under uncultured bacterium. RNAcentral describes it as "partial 16S ribosomal RNA". It matches the Rfam family "Bacterial small subunit ribosomal RNA", at positions 30 to 507 of the family's 1533-position model. The record is from RNAcentral.